UCCAACGUGCUAGUUUCUGCAGCCUCCUUG
This 30-nucleotide non-coding RNA is filed under the name Rattus norvegicus (Norway rat). The record is from RNAcentral. Lineage: Eukaryota; Metazoa; Chordata; Mammalia; Rodentia; Muridae.